Non-coding RNA from Dallia pectoralis (Alaska blackfish), 77 nucleotides. The record is from the annotation of a GenBank genome assembly. NCBI's taxonomy places the organism in Eukaryota, Metazoa, Chordata, Actinopteri, Esociformes, Umbridae.
GUUGGUGUAACUCAGUGGUAGAGUGCAUGCUUUGUAUGUAUGGUGUCCUGGGUUCAAUUCAAUCCCCAGCUUUUCCC